This 212-nucleotide unclassified non-coding RNA is filed under the name rhizosphere metagenome. RNAcentral's name for it is "partial ribosomal RNA internal transcribed spacer region". The record is from RNAcentral.
GUAGGUGAACCUGCGGAAGGAUCAUUACUGAGUUCAUGCCCUAACGGGUAGAUCUCCACCCUUGAAUACAAACUCUUGUUGCUUUGGCGGGCCGCUUCGGCUACUGGCUUCUAGCUAGUGAGUGCCCGCCAGAGGACCCCAAACUCUAAAUUUUGUAUUGUCUGAGAACUAUAUAAUAGUUAAAACUUUCAACAACGGAUCUCUUGGUUCUG